Molecule: long non-coding RNA, 1333 nt
Organism: Oncorhynchus gorbuscha (pink salmon)
Lineage: Eukaryota; Metazoa; Chordata; Actinopteri; Salmoniformes; Salmonidae
Exons: 5
Source: RefSeq, a predicted model, not a curated record
UUGUUUCACGGUUUCAAGCAACACGUUCAAAGAAUAACGGCCGUUUGAGUCUGAAAAACCCCAUACGGAUUGACCAUGCAAUGCAUGCGUCCAGCAGGAUGCACAGCCAACAACUAUGGUUUGCAUGACCUGACGAAUGACCCUAUAAUGCAGAAUAGGUGGUUGGAGUUUGUUGGUCCCCAGUAGUGAUAAAGUGCACAGUUGGGUGCCAGACUGAUCCCCUGGUCAGGAACGGAUGCCGGGACCUACCAGGAGGAGCAGAAUGCGCAAUGGGACAAGGACAUCCCUGCCGGCCAAACCCUCCUCUAACCCGAACAACGCUGGACCUAGAUGACUUCAUCAACAACGACAGCCCAACAUGCAGCGUAGAGAAGACCAGCACGUUGAGCAUUCCCAUGAACAUAACAUACAGCCACAUGUUGCCAAGUAUCCGGCCAGCAACCUUCAUCUAUCAGUAGCAACAGCUUUCACAGGCUCAUCAUUUGUACAAAUACAGAAGAAACAUGUAUGGAGCCAGCAAAUGGAGACAUGCAAGAUGAUGUGAUGAAGUCCAGACUGACAGAAGGGCUUGAUACUAUCACAUUUCAGAAGACGCAAGGCAGACAGUGUCGAAGUAACAAAAGUUUAUUACUAGAACAGGGCAGGCAAAACGACAGGUCAAGGGCAGGAAGAGGUCAGUAAAUCCAGAUCAGAGUCCAUAAGGUACAGAACAGCAGGCAGUCUCGGGGGCAGGGCAGAAAGAGGUCAAUAAUCCAGGGUGGUGUGACAAGGUACAGAAUAGCAGGCAGGGUCAGGGAAGGCAGAAUGGUAAAAACCGGGAACAUUAGAAAACGAACUAGAAAAAGACAGGAGCAAGGAGUGAACCGGAGGUACAAACAAAAUGAACUGGCAACAGACAAACAAAGAACACAGGUAUAAAUACACAGGGGAUAAUGGGGAAGAUGCUCGACACUUGGAGGGGGUGGAGACAAGCACAAAGACAGGUGAAACAGAUCAGGGUGUGACAGAUACUGACGUCGUUGAAUGGAGAGAGACCUGGCAUUCGGUAUAAACAUUUGACUAGACACAACUUUUACUUGUAUUGCCUUUUUUUAUUAUUGAAUUGAAUGGUGUCAUUCAAUAUCGGGAGGGAGAAACUGCACCAUGAUCAGGGAACUCCUGUUGUAUAUGGGACACAACACAGGAAGGUAUGACGUCUCUGACAUGUUUGCCAAGGUACAGUGCCUUCAGAAAGUAUUUACACCACUUUACUUUUUUCUAAUUUUGUUGUAUUACAGCCUGGAUUGAAAAUGUAUUCAUUUGAGAUUUGUUUUGUCACUGGCCUACACACAAU